RNAcentral lists this ribosomal RNA (348 nucleotides) under Bolbena maraisi. RNAcentral's name for it is "partial 16S ribosomal RNA". Lineage: Eukaryota; Metazoa; Arthropoda; Insecta; Mantodea; Nanomantidae. The record is from RNAcentral.
GGCCGCAGUAUUUUGACUGUGCAAAGGUAGCAUAAUCAUUAGUCUUUUAAUUGAGGGCUGGUAUGAAUGGUUGGACGAGGUAAAAGCUGUUUUAUUUUAAUUGUUAUUGAAUUUAGAAUUUAAGUAAAAAAACUUAAAUUUUAUUAAGGGACGAGAAGACCCUAUAGAGUUUAAUAUGUAUAGUUUUAAUUGAGUUAUAAAAGUAGUUUUUGGUUAAUUAUGAAAUAUAUUUAAUUGGGGUGAUGGAAAGAUAAAUUUAACUCUUUUUUAAUUUUAAUGAUAUGGUUAGUAAAAUGAUCCGUUAUUUAGUGAUUAAAAGAUUAAAUUACCUUAGGGAUAACAGCAUAA